CGCGGUAAAACCAGCACCUCAAGUGGUCAGGAUGAUUAUUGGGCCUAAAGCAUCCGUAGCCGGCUCUGUAAGUUUUCGGUUAAAUCUGUACGCUCAACGUACAGGCUGCCGGGAAUACUGCAGAGCUAGGGAGUGGGAGAGGUAGACGGUACUCGGUAGGAAGGGGUAAAAUCCUUUGAUCUAUUGAUGACCACCUGUGGCGAAGGCGGUCUACCAGAACACGUCCGACGGUGAGGGAUGAAAGCUGGGGGAGCAAACCGGAUUAGAUACCCGGGUAGUCCCAGCUGUAAACUAUGCAAACUCAGUGAUGCAUUGGCUUGUGGCCAAUGCAGUGCUGCAGGGAAGCCGUUAAGUUUGCCGCCUGGGAAGUACGUACGCAAGUAUGAAACUUAAAGGAAUUGGCG
Molecule: ribosomal RNA, 404 nt
Filed under: uncultured crenarchaeote
Lineage: Archaea; Thermoproteati; Thermoproteota
Description: bacterial SSU rRNA
Rfam family: Archaeal small subunit ribosomal RNA
Source: RNAcentral